UGGGGAAUCUUCCGCAAUGGGCGCAAGCCUGACGGAGCAACGCCGCGUGAGUGAAGAAGGGUUUCGACUCGUAAAGCUCUGUUGUCGGGGACGAAUGUGGAGAUGGUGAAUAACCAUUUCUAAUGACGGUACCUGACUAAGAAGCCCCGGCUAACUACGUGCCAGCAGCCGCGGUAAUACGUAGGGGGCAAGCGUUAUCCGGAUUUACUGGGUGUAAAGGGAGCGUAGACGGCAAUGCAAGUCUGAAGUGAAAGGACGGGGCUUAACCCUGUGACUGCUUUGGAAACUGUGUAGCUUGAGUGCCGGAGGGGUAAGCGGAAUUCCUAGUGUAGCGGUGAAAUGCGUAGAUAUUAGGAGGAACACCAGUGGCGAAGGCGGCUUACUGGACGGUAACUGACGUUGAGGCUCGAAAGCGUGGGGAGCAAACAGGAUUAGAUACCCUGGUAGU
This 448-nucleotide ribosomal RNA is filed under the name uncultured Clostridium sp. RNAcentral's name for it is "bacterial SSU rRNA". It matches the Rfam family "Bacterial small subunit ribosomal RNA", at positions 355 to 794 of the family's 1533-position model. The record is from RNAcentral. Lineage: Bacteria; Bacillati; Bacillota; Clostridia; Eubacteriales; Clostridiaceae.